RNAcentral lists this ribosomal RNA (247 nucleotides) under uncultured bacterium. Its description in RNAcentral is "partial 16S ribosomal RNA". It matches the Rfam family "Bacterial small subunit ribosomal RNA", at positions 523 to 769 of the family's 1533-position model. The record is from RNAcentral.
AUACGUAGGGUGCGAGCGUUAAUCGGAAUUACUGGGCGUAAAGCGUGCGCAGGCGGUUAUGUAAGACAGAUGUGAAAUCCCCGGGCUCAACCUGGGAACUGCGUUUGUGACUGCAUAACUAGAGUACGGCAGAGGGAGGUGGAAUUCCACGUGUAGCAGUGAAAUGCGUAGAGAUGUGGAGGAACACCGAUGGCGAAGGCAGCCUCCUGGGCCAGUACUGACGCUCAUGCACGAAAGCGUGGGGAGC